RNA transcript from Medicago truncatula (barrel medic), 4797 nucleotides. It is a transcript of the gene named DExH-box ATP-dependent RNA helicase DExH3, with no coding region annotated. The transcript has 20 exons. The record is from RefSeq and is a predicted model, not a curated record. Lineage: Eukaryota; Viridiplantae; Streptophyta; Magnoliopsida; Fabales; Fabaceae.
UGUGAAGUUAGGGAUGCAAAGCUGCGUGGUUAGUUAGUGCACCUCAUAUUCAUUCACUCACGUCACUCACCUCACCUCACCAUGCCGUUUCCGAUGAUGCGAAUUCGAAUGCGGAUUCCCUCCGCCGGCAUCUUCAGACUCGCCGUUCGUCAUUUCCUCACUACCACCACCACAACAACCACUAACCUCCGCAUUCGUCUUUCAUCUUCCUCACCCGCCGCCCUAAACCACCAUAGACACAGGACCUUCGCUCUUCCAUUUUUUCACCAACAAACCUCCACUUACGGCCGUUUUGCCUUCAAAGACGUUUCCUCUGAUGAAUCCGACCUCGAAUUCGCUUCUUCUCGCCCUCAACAACAACAACUGGGAGAUUCGACUCUCGAAAACAUUGAUUCUUGGAGAUGGAAACUCACCAUGCUUCUUCGCAAUAAAGAUCAGCAAGAAGUUGUGUCCAAUGAGAAAAAAGACCGUCGUGAUUUUCUGCAACUUGAAACUUUAGCUACCAGGAUGGGCUUAUACAGUCGACAAUAUGCAAGAGUUGUUGUCUUUAGCAAGGCGCCUUUGCCGAAUUAUCGCCCUGACCUCGAUGAUAAGCGUCCGCUGAGAGAGGUAACCUUACCAUUUGGUGUUCAUAGAGAAGUAGACACUCAUCUCCUUGCUCAUCUUUCACAUAAGGCUACAAAAAGAGUAGGCUCUUUCGAUGAUUCCUUGCAUAGAUCAAGGGAUGAUGGAAGCAUUCCUGCGGAUGAAGGGAUUUAUGGGCAUCCGGAACCCAUGAGCCAUAAUAGUGUUGCCAAAGAGAAAAUCCUUCAACGAAGAAGUUUGCAACUGCAUCAUCAACAACAAGACUGGCAGGAAUCUCCCGAAGGCCAAAAGAUGCUUGAAUUUCGCCGAAGUCUUCCUGCAUUCAAAGAGAAAGAUGCAUUUUUGAAAGUUGUUUCAGAGAAUCAGGUCAUUGUCGUCUCAGGUGAAACUGGUUGUGGUAAGACCACACAACUUCCUCAAUACAUAUUAGAAUCUGAGAUUGAAGCUGCACGUGGAUCUCUAUGUAACAUAAUUUGUACUCAGCCUAGAAGAAUAUCUGCUAUAUCUGUUUCUGAAAGAGUUGCAGCAGAACGUGGGGAAAAAUUGGGAGAAUCUGUUGGUUAUAAAGUUCGGUUGGAGGGUAUGAGAGGGAGGGAUACUCGUCUUCUUUUUUGCACCACAGGCGUGUUAUUGCGGAGACUACUUGUGGAUAGAAGUUUAAAAGGUGUAACUCAUGUUAUUGUUGAUGAAAUUCAUGAACGUGGAAUGAAUGAAGAUUUUCUUCUCAUUGUCCUGAAGGAUCUCCUCCCUCGCCGCCCUGAUUUGAGAUUAAUUUUGAUGAGUGCAACCUUAAAUGCUGAGCUUUUUUCUUCAUAUUUUGAUGGUGCCCCAACGAUACAUAUCCCUGGGUUUACCUUUCCAGUUCGAGCACAAUUUCUUGAGGAUAUUCUGGAAAGGACCGGAUAUCGUUUGACUCCUUAUAAUCAAAUUGAUGACUAUGGUCAAGAAAAAACAUGGAAAAUGCAGAAACAAGCCCAGUCUUUCAAAAAACGAAAGAGCCAGAUUGCUUCUGCUGUUGAGGAUGCAUUAGAGGUUGCAGACUUUAAGGGGUAUAGCCUACGCACCAAGGAGUCAAUGUCCUGCUGGAACCCUGAUUCAAUUGGUUUCAACCUUAUUGAACAUGUGCUUUGCCACAUUGUUAAGAAUGAAAGGCCAGGUGCUGCGUUGGUUUUUAUGACUGGUUGGGAUGAUAUAAACUCUUUGAAGGAUAAACUCCAUGCUCAUCCUUUGUUGGGUGAUCAGAGCCGAGUAUUACUUCUUGCCUGCCAUGGCUCUAUGUCCAGCUCAGAGCAGAAAUUAAUAUUUGAAAAUCCUGGAGGAGGGGUGAGGAAGAUUGUUCUGGCUACUAAUAUGGCAGAGACUAGUAUUACUAUCAAUGACGUUGUAUUUGUGGUUGAUUGUGGAAAAGCAAAGGAGACAUCAUAUGAUGCAUUAAAUAACACUCCUUGUUUGCUUCCAUCUUGGAUCUCAAAAGCUGCUGCCAGACAGAGAAAAGGAAGGGCAGGUCGUGUUCAAUCUGGCGAAUGCUACCAUCUUUAUCCCAGAUGUGUUUAUGAUGCUUUUGCUGAUUAUCAAUUGCCAGAGCUUUUAAGAACACCUUUACAGUCCUUAUGUCUACAAAUAAAAAGUCUACAACUUGGAAGCAUCUCUGAGUUUUUAUCUAGUGCUCUCCAGCCACCAGAGCCUCUGUCGGUUCAAAAUGCUGUUGAUUAUUUGAAAAUUAUUGGUGCUUUAGACGAGAAUGAAAAUUUGACAGUUCUAGGGUGCAAGUUGUCAAUGCUUCCGGUAGAGCCUAAGCUUGGCAAGAUGCUCAUCUUGGGAGCUAUUUUCAACUGUUUGGAUCCCAUAUUGACUGUUGUUGCUGGGCUUAGUGUGAGAGAUCCAUUUGUUGUGCCGGCUGACAAGAAGGAUCUUGCAGAGUCGGCCAAGGCCCAGAUUGCUGCUCGUGGAUACAGUGAUCAUCUUGCACUUGUUCGUGCUUAUGAUGGUUGGAAAGAUGCUGAAGCACAGCAAGCUGGUUAUGAGUUCUGUUGGCGUAAUUUUCUCUCGUCUCAAACCCUUAGGGCUAUUGAUUCUCUCCGAAAGCAAUUCUUUCACUUGCUCAAAGAUAUUGGUCUGGUUGGCAACAAUUCUGAAACCAACAAUAAAUGGAGUAAUGAGGAGCAUCUGCUCCGAGCAGUUAUCUGUGCGGGUUUGUUUCCUGGAAUAUCCUCUGUUGUGAACAAGGAAAAGUCAAUAUCACUGAAAACAAUGGAGGAUGGUCAGGUUCUUCUGUAUGCUAACUCGGUAAAUGGAAGUGUAGCCAAAAUUCCAUACCCAUGGAUAGUGUUUAAUGAAAAGAUUAAAGUGAAUACAGUAUUCCUUAGGGAUUCAACUGGCAUAUCUGAUUCCAUGCUGCUCUUAUUUGGCGGGAACAUAUCCAAAGGUGGACUGGAUGGUCACCUAAAAAUGUUGGGAGGGUAUCUAGAAUUUUUCAUGAAACCAGAAUUAGCCAAGACGUACUCAACUUUGAAGAGGGAACUGGAAGAAUUGGUACAUAAAAAACUUGCGGAUCCUAUGUUCGAUAUACACUCGCAUAAUGAGCUUCUUUCAGCUGUUAGACUGUUGGUAUCAGAGGACAACUGCGACGGAAGAUUUGUCUAUGGUCACCAGGUCUUACCACAGUUAAAGAAGGAAACGAAAUCCAAAAGUGGUGAUGGAGCUGGGGGUGAUAAUUCUAAAAAUCAGCUUCAAACAUUCCUCAGCAGGGCUGGACAUCAGUUACCAACUUACAAAACACAGGAGCUGAGAAACAAUCAAUUCCGUUCUACUGUCAUAUUCAACGGCUUGGAUUUUGUUGGCCAGCCAUGCAACAGCAAGAAACUAGCAGAAAAAUCUGCUGCUGCUGAGGCUAUUCUAUGGUUAAAAGGGGAUAAUACCCAUUCAUCUGGUGAUAUUGAUCAUGCAUCUGUGCUUUUGAAGAAAAGGAACAAGAAAAGUAAAAAAAAAUCGUUUAGUGAUGCUAAAUGGAGUUAAGUUACCUUUGCGAGGCAUAUUUUUGGAUAGGUUUGUUUGAUAGGAUCCUAUACCAAGGUUUGUCUAUGUUCUCUAUGUGGUGCAAUCAAAUCAGGGGUAAAUUUACCGGCAAGAGUGUACAGAGCUAUCAGGGAUCUUGAAUCUGAAAGGUAUAGAUCUUAGCUCUUGAUUUUGAAAUGGGGGGAAUUGUAUCUAGAGUCCACAUAAAUUAGGGGCACAUUCCAAGAUGUGUAUUCCUACAAUUGCUUUUACUAAAUCUGACCCGGAGUACAGCAUGGGUAGCUGAGCAGCUACUGUACUUGCAAUGAAUUCAUUAAAAAUGGAGAGUGUAAGCAGCUAAAAUUCGUAUCCACAGGCUAAUGAUGCUUUUGUUCUGCAUCACUCUUGUGGGCAAAGAAGAGAUACUUUACAAGAUGGAUCAAUGUUACUAAUCAAUAAAUGGAGCUUAUUUGAACUAAGCUUUCAAGUCCCAACUUACUGCGACAUCAGACUAGCAAAUGAUCUUACCUUCGGCUUUUGGUGGGGAGAUGCUGGUGUCAUUGAUGAGAGUCUUCGUUGCAUUAUCUGCAACUACAAAGUAAAGAAGUUUCUGUUAAAAUAGUUAACUUUCACAGUCCUUAUAAUUACCAUCCUUUGUGUACUCUGCCUAUCUUUUGUUUUUAACUUUUUUUUUAAUUAUGGAAAUUAAGGUGGUUGAGGUGUUCAUAUAAUUAAACCACAAGUAAUUAAUUUGUUAUUACCUUUAGCCAUUUGUGGAGAGAUUCUUGUGGCAUUGACAGGGUUCUUUGGUGCAAUUCUAUCAUCUGACAAAUGAGAUAUUCUUGUGGCAUUGACAGGGUUCUUUGGUACAAUUCUAUCAUCUGACAAAUGAGAUAUUCUUGUGGCAUUGACAGGGUUCUUUGGUGCAAUUCUAUCAUCUGACAAAUGAGAUAUUCUUGUGGCAUUGACUGGGUUCUUUGGUACAAUUCUAUCAUCUGACAAGUGAGAUAUUCAUAGGGUUAAAGGUUUACCUUAAAUCCUUUUAUUAACCAUAUUGAGAUUCAAAAAAUCUUACCUUCAAUAUAUGUCUUAUCUAUUCUUACCUUCGGCUAUUUUUAGAGAGCCACUGGUGUCAUUGACCAUCAACAAUUUGGUGUCAACGCCAAUUGAGAGCUUGAUGUUCACUGUGAAAAGAAGUAAAGUUAUACUCAAAGGCUA